GUGUCAGUACAAACCAAAUUAGAGUGAAACCGCGAAUGGCUCAUUAAAUCAGCUAUGAUUCAUUGGAUCUGUACCCAGUUUUCCUUGGAUAACUGUGGUAAUUCUAGAGCUAAUACAUGCACAUAUAGUCCCUACACCUCGUUGAGAGGGAAGGGCGCUUUUAUUAGUAUCAAAACCGGUCGGGCUUCGGUCUGUAAACCAGUUUGAUGACUCUGGAUAACUUUUAGCUGAGCGCACGGUCUUUUGUACUGGCGCCGCUUCUUUCAAGUGUCUGCCUUAUCAGCUAGAUUGUAAGUUAUGUGCUUACAAUGGCUAUAACGGGUAACGGGGAAUCAGGGUUCGAUUCCGGAGAGGGAGCCUGAGAAACGGCUACCACAUCUAAGGAAGGCAGCAGGCACGCAAAUUACCCACUCCCAGUUCGGGGAGGUAGUGACGAAAAAUAACGAUGCGAGACUCAUCCGAGGCCUCGCAAUCGGAAUGAGUACACUUUAAAUCCUUUAACGAGGAUCAAUUGGAGGGCAAGUCUGGUGCCAGCAGCCGCGGUAAUUCCAGCUCCAAUGGCGUAUAUUAAAGCUGUUGCGGUUAAAAAGCUCGUAGUUGGAUUUCAGUAUUGGACUGAUGAGUUUUUUCACCUUUUGGUGAUUGAACCCAAUCAAGCUUCAAAACCUGCGGCCACAAUGUAAUAACCUUGUGUGUUGCUGAACUAGCUCACACGGGGUGCUCUUAAUCGAGUGUCCCGAGUGGCUGGUAUGUUUACUUUGAAAAAAUUAGAGUGCUCAGAGCAGGCUAGUAAUGGCCUGAAUGUCUAUGCAUGGAAUAAUAUAAGAGGACCUCGGGUUUUAUGUUUUACCGCGUUUCUUUUGGAAACCCGAGGUAAUGAUUAACAGGACCAAAUGGGGGGUAUUAGUACUGCGACGCUUGAGGUGAAAUUCUUGGACCGUCGCAAAGGUGGAAGCCGAUCAGAUACCGCCCUAGUUCUAACCAUAAACGAUGCUAACCAGCGAUCCGCCGAUGUUAUAUCCAUGACUCGGCGGGCAGCUUCCGGGAAACCAAAGUCUUUGAGUUCCGGGGGAAGUAUGGUUGCAAAUCUGAAACUUAAAGGAAUUGACGGAAGGGCACCACCAGGAGUGGAGCCUGCGGCUUAAUUUGACUCAACACGGGAAACCUCACCAGGCCCAGACACUGGAAGGAUUGACAGAUUGAGAGCUCUUUCUCGAUUCAGUGGGUGGUGGUGCAUGGCCGUUCUUAGUUGGUGGAGCGAUUUGUCUGGUUAAUUCCGAUAACGAACGAGACUCUGGCCUAUUAACUAGUCGACGGAUUUCCAAACCAUGCAUUGGUGUCCAGUUCGCAAUAUUAUCUUCUUAGAGGGAUAAGCGGUAGUCCUAGCCGCACGAGAAUGAGCAAUAACAGGUCUGUGAUGCCCUUAGAUGUUCUGGGCCGCACGCGCGCUACACUGAAGGGAUCAGAAUGUUUUCCCCCUCCGAAAGGAGCGGGUAACCCUAUGAACCCCCUUCGUGAUAGGGAUUGGGGCUUGUAAUUAUUUCCCAUGAACGAGGAAUUCCCAGUAAGCGCAGAUCAAGAGUUUGCGUUGAUUACGUCCCUGCCCUUUGUACACACCGCCCGUCGCUACUACCGAUUGAAUGAUUUAGUGAGGCCUUCGGACUGUCGCUCUUGGAUAUCUUGGCAUCAUUAUUAAUGCUGCUGGUUCCUAGAGCUGACGGAAAGAUGUCCAAACUUGAUCAUUUAGAAGAAGUAAUCGUCAUAACGUUGUCUCC
Molecule: ribosomal RNA, 1775 nt
Filed under: Gonionida tangaroa
Lineage: Eukaryota; Metazoa; Arthropoda; Malacostraca; Decapoda; Munididae
Description: SSU rRNA
Rfam family: Eukaryotic small subunit ribosomal RNA
Source: RNAcentral